RNAcentral lists this transfer RNA (74 nucleotides) under Flavobacteriales bacterium. RNAcentral's name for it is "tRNA-Arg". It matches the Rfam family "tRNA". Rfam says of the family: Transfer RNA (tRNA) molecules are approximately 80 nucleotides in length. Their secondary structure includes four short double-helical elements and three loops (D, anti-codon, and T loops). The record is from RNAcentral. Lineage: Bacteria; Pseudomonadati; Bacteroidota; Flavobacteriia; Flavobacteriales.
GAUCCCGUAGCUCAGCUGGAUAGAGCACCUGCCUUCUAAGCAGGCGGCCGUUGGUUCGAAUCCAACCGGGAUCG